UCAAACAUUGCAGGUACUUUAUUUCCAGAACUCUUACAAAUAUAUAAAAGAUGUGUUAAUUACAUCUUGGGAGAGAAAACCCCUAAUUAAGAAUUCCAACAUAACUAUUACAUAGGAUUACAACAUACGAUCACUACAAAGUGUAGAAAAGAAAAAACUACAAAAUGUAGAAAAUAAAGUCCUCCUCACUGUCGUCGACGUCGGCGUAUUUGGGGAAGCCAUGAAGUAUAUCUAUGGUAAUACAUGGAUAACAUAAUUUCAUCAUAUAGCCCGUACAUGCUCGCAUAUAUGUUACCUAGUUCCUAACCAUUGGAUAUUUGAGUAGUGGGUAGUGUCUUAUCCUUUUUGUUAAUAUGAACACUUGUUUAAUGGUUAAUUAGCUAGUCCAAUAAGCAUGGGUGCAAUAUAUAACAUGACUCAUUAUGUGAGCCGAAUUUAUCAUGCAUCUGAUUUCUAUAUAUGCAUACAUAGGAUGGGAACAUAUCUUGCAGCAACGUAUAUAUUAUUGCACAAGCCAAUAUAGGUAAACUAUAGUAUAUAUGGAGGAUGCACUACGUUAUAUUUAGUGCAAGACAGGCUAUGAUCCUGGUUAUCAUUUAAUUAUGUAUAUGCGCACACCUAUAUGAUAGGAAUGCAUGGUUCGACAUUAAUCUAUAUGUGAGAUUAUCAUAUGACAUGGCAUACAUCAUACGCCUGUGAUGUAACCAAACUUGCAUCAUCUAUAUCAUUUAUAAACAUGUUAAAUUUAUGUUGAAUAUGCAUGGGUUCUAAUGGUGUAAUAUGAUUUCAACACCUAUAUUAAUACACUAGUUUUAUAUGAGAAACCAGCAGCAUGAUUAUAUAAGCAUAUUUGACGCGAUUUCACUUCAUCCGGGUCAUAACGGAAUCGAGCAAGAGUAUAUAUCAGAUUUCUAUAUUUCAUGGACAGGAUGCAAAUUCAACUCAGUUUAGCUAUAUGGGACUAAACGGUGCCUGGAGUAAUUAUCCUGCAUGCGUAUUUUGAUUACGGUGCUCAUGGUGUACUAGUCAUAUGCAACAGGGCAUGACAAUUAACUAGCAUACAGCACACCUAGUUAAGUGUGACUAAUUUCAGAUUAAGCCAAUAUAUAAAUGAGAUGCAGAUUUGUUUUGCUUUGAUCAAGUUUCACAUGCAUAUAUACCUGCUGCUAUCUAAUCAGAGUGCAUGUGUAAACGAAUAUUUUGAUCACACAUGGCCGCAUGCCUUGAGUAUUUUACCAGACCCUAUAAUUGAUCGUGGUUGCUAACUAGGCAAAUAUGACAUGCAAACAUUAUCUCAUUUGGUUUUGCCUUACAUGCGUAUCCAACUACUAGUCUGACUAGAGUGCAUGAUGUAGAUUAUAAUUUCAAUUUAGUUAUAUGAGACUAAACAAGCAUAGAGUAAAUAUCAGACAUAACCAUUUGUUCGUCGUAUUUAUUCUAGUACUAACAACAUGGUAUACGACGGAGUAUGUGCAGUUUCUUUGGCUGAUACGAAUCCAUAUACCGGAAUACAUAAUCUGUUUGAGCGAGGUAGGCCAAUGCGUUGAUUGACUUUCAGAUUAAACUAGGUUCCUUAAACAACGUAAAUGAGCUGCAGACUUUGCUCUGCUUGAACAACAUGCUACUAUUUCAGGUUAGUGAAUACUCUAAGCAUAUAUGGCCGAGCAUGCACUAGGUUUAGAUUAAUCAAAAUUAUCAGCCCGGGAGUGCAUGUACUACUUGGUGCUAGUGAAUACUCUAGCGUACAGUGGGCUUGGAUCCAUCAAGAUUAUUAGCUAGACACAUCCGAAUAUUAUUUUUAUUUAAUCACUUCAUGCCUGUAUCCUUGCACCAAAUAAUGCUUCAGGAGCUCGUGCAUCUAGGGAACUAGAACAUGACCUAGAUUUAUUAGGCAUGACUUAAUUUAUAGUGGCAUAUGAGACCAAAAAGACAAUAACUUUGUUUCUAAUUCUUUUAUAACCUUGAUUUGUAUCAUCAUGGGACCGGAGUCACCAUGCAGACCAAACAAAGAGCGAAUUAAUUAGUUUGAUUUAUAUUUGUAUCCUUAACUUGUAUCAUCAUGGCACCGGAAUCACCAUGCAGAUCAAACAAGGACCAAAUUAAUUAGUUUGAUUUCUAUUUGUAUCCUUGAUUUGUAUCAUCAUGGGACCGGAGUCACCAUGCAUACCAAACAAGGAGCCAAUCUAGUUUGAGUAUGUUAAUCAAUCAUUGUGACGACAUAAUCAAGAAUGAAGGAGAAAUAGUAUAGCUUUAGCCUCCCUUUCUCACCUUGCAAACCGAGGCAGCACAACCCAAGAUGGAACGGCGUGCGAACGACCGGUGCUCGUCUGUGUCGAACAGCCGGCCGGCAGAUGCUAAACAGCCAACGCGUAUGAUAGCGUGAAUGUUGAACAACUGACGGCGAGCGACGCUGACGACGAGCGGCCGGCAGCGCGACGACGAGCGGCGACGGUAGCGUACGAGUGAGUGAUGGACUGGAGAGGAUUGGUG
Molecule: long non-coding RNA, 2490 nt
Filed under: Hordeum vulgare
Lineage: Eukaryota; Viridiplantae; Streptophyta; Magnoliopsida; Poales; Poaceae
Description: long non-coding RNA (HVUL_LNC004244)
Source: RNAcentral